Molecule: ribosomal RNA, 490 nt
Filed under: uncultured bacterium
Lineage: Bacteria
Description: partial 16S ribosomal RNA
Rfam family: Bacterial small subunit ribosomal RNA
Source: RNAcentral
AGUGAACGCUGGCGGCAGGCCUAACACAUGCAAGUCGAACGGCAGCACAAGAGAGCUUGCUCUCUGGGUGGCGAGUGGCGGACGGGUGAGGAAUGCAUCGGAAUCUGCCCAUUUGUGGGGGAUAACCUCGGGAAACCGGGACUAAUACCGCAUACGACCUACGGGUGAAAGCAGGGGAUCUUCGGACCUUGCGCAGAUGGAUGAGCCGAUGCCGGAUUAGCUAGUUGGAGGGGUAAAGGCCCACCAAGGCGACGACCCGUAGCUGGUCUGAGAGGAUGAUCAGCCACACUGGGACUGAGACACGGCCCAGACUCCUACGGGAGGCAGCAGUGGGGAAUAUUGGACAAUGGGCGCAAGCCUGAUCCAGCCAUGCCGCGUGUGUGAAGAAGGCCUUCGGGUUGUAAAGCACUUUUGUUGGGAAAGAAAAGCAGCCGGUUAAUACCCGGUUGUCAUGACGGUACCCAAAGAAUAAGCACCGGCUAACUUCGUG